GCAUGAUGGAAAUGGGGCGUCCAAAUCUGAGAUGCAGGCAGUGUGAGGCACCAAGGGAUGAGGGGGAGGAAGUGCAAGAGUACACUGGACUGGUCAAGCAAGAUGAACAGCAAAAGGCAACCAAGGGGGGCCGGGCCAGUCAAGCAAGAGGCUGACACAGCUCCUGGUAAACCCAUGGCUGCGCAAGGCUUUGUAAAGUGCAGGACCAGCUGCUGUGCAGUUACGCCCAUCCACAAGAGGACGCACUCACGCUGCACAAGCACUUCCUUUUAUUUUUUCCCCCACCUGGGAGGCGUUGCUGUGUCCUUGAUCAGCAUUCAAGGGAGCUCAGCUGGCCGGAGCCUUAAGCUGGUCAAAGGUUCCCCUAAGCAUUUUUUUGUCCUCUCUGACUAUCCUAAUCACUUGGGUAACAUGGCUC
Molecule: unclassified non-coding RNA, 418 nt
Filed under: Zea mays
Lineage: Eukaryota; Viridiplantae; Streptophyta; Magnoliopsida; Poales; Poaceae
Description: misc RNA Zm00001eb361510
Source: RNAcentral